Molecule: long non-coding RNA, 1399 nt
Organism: Mustela erminea (ermine)
Lineage: Eukaryota; Metazoa; Chordata; Mammalia; Carnivora; Mustelidae
Exons: 4
Source: RefSeq, a predicted model, not a curated record
GCCCUCUCUGUGCUUCGCUUUGACCCUCCACCCCCUAAUCCCGCUUUCUGGUUCCCUAUUUAGAUGAGCAUCCCUGAUGCAUUUAGCGAAUUCUUCCUCCGUCGAGUCUCCGUAGGAAUCUGCUUUCUGAGAAGCGGCUUGUGCUUCCGAGAAACCGAAGGGAGCCUCGCGGGUUUGCAGGCUCGCGGGUGGGUGAGCCAAAGAGCCAGGGAAGGCAGCGCAUGACUAACCGGCGUGACGCGGCACCCGUGAGCGCUCGACAGCCACUCAUCACCAGCAGCAGAUUGAAGGUUCCAAUUUGUGAUUCUGGGGAGUACUAGAGAAUGUGCAGGAUUCUUGAGAAUGACAAACUGAGAACAUGAUAGAAAUGAAAAAUAUAAAAGGAAGGCUCAGAAAAAAAGCUUAGAAAAGAACAAAUCGUUAAGAAGAAAAACAGAAAUGGAAAUUUUCCAAAGAGGUGGUUGGCUUACAUUUUUGAAAACUGGAAACAAUGAAAAAGAGGAGGCUUGUGUUAAACAUAAUGCACAUAAAAUUCACAAGAAGGAUAUUACACAUUUGAUGUAAUUACUCAUCCAAACAAUGAAAACGUGCAAAACUGUUACUGGCAUCAAGCCUCUGUUUGUACAGCUCAAAUAAAAUCCCUGUGCUUUCACAUCUUUUCCUGCAUGCAGACUGAACUACAAUACAAGAUAAUUAGAGUGUGUGAGGACCCAGUUUGACUCCUGCCCCAGGCCUUGUGUUGGGAAGCAUUGGGGAAGAGGGCUGCCAGGAGAUAUGCAAUGCCCCUGAGCAAAGAAGCUGAAGACCUAGAGAAGAAACCCCUUCAAAGUUCUCUGCGUAUUAAUCCACCCAGUGGAAACUUCUGCAAUUCAGGGAGGAAGUUCUUCGGAAUCACAAUCAGACGGUGGAGUGCUGCUUCGGCUAAUUUUCUAUGGUGGUUUCCAGAAAGGCAAUCCUAAUCUAUGUUUACUCAUUCUUCUCAUACAGAAUCAUUAACCCUGCUCUCCCCCAGUUUGUUAAUGCACAUGUGAGUCCCACCGGGUAUCACCCAGCUCUUUCCUUAAUCACCAUGAGCCGCGUAUAAACCUGCCUCCCUCUCCGAAGAGCUCUGUUUACCCACCCUUAUCACCUCCCACAGUCUGCUCAGCUACCGGAGACUCUGUGACAAGGGGCCAUAAACGUGACACUGUCCUUGAAAGAUAUCAGUAAAAUUUUACAUUAUUAUCCUGAUUGGGGGGGAGGAGCGGGGGGGGGGCGGUUGGAAAGACGCUUCAAAGGGAGUCAGAUUAUUUUCUUUUGUCAGAGGUUAAAUGGAUAAUUAAUUUGCAUCUGUGCCUUUCCACAGCCAUUUUACACCUGUCUGAUAGAAUAAAUUAUAAACCAUGAAAAAGAAAACAGU